GAACGAACGCUGGUGGCGUGUCUUAUACAUGCAAGUCGAGCGAGGCAGCAAUGCCGAGCGGCGAACGGGUGAGUAACGCGUAAGCAAUCUGCCCCAUAUCAGGAAAUACCCGUGCCAACGCGCGGUUAAUGUCCAGGAGAGUGGCCCCCUGCAUGGGGGGUUGACUAGAGAUUUAUCGGUAUGGGAUGAGCUUGCGUCCGAUUAGCUAGUUGGCGGGGCAACGGCCCACCAAGGCGACGAUCGGUAGCCGGCCUGAGAGGGUGAUCGGCCACAUUGGGACUGAGAUACGGCCCAGACUCCUACGGGAGGCAGCAGUAGGGAAUAUUGCACAAUGGGGGAAACCCUGAUGCAGCAACGCCACGUGUGGGAAGAAGCAUUUCGGUGUGUAAACCACUGUCAUGAGGGAAUAAGGCCCUUAUUCGUAAGGGAUUGAAUGUACCUUGAGAGGAAGCACCGGCAAACUUCGUGCCAGCAGCCGC
This 479-nucleotide ribosomal RNA is filed under the name uncultured bacterium. RNAcentral describes it as "bacterial SSU rRNA". It matches the Rfam family "Bacterial small subunit ribosomal RNA", at positions 27 to 518 of the family's 1533-position model. The record is from RNAcentral.